ACGAACGCUGGCGGCGUGCCUAAUACAUGCAAGUAGAACGCUGAAGAGAGGAGCUUGCUCUUCUUGGAUGAGUUGCGAACGGGUGAGUAACGCGUAGGUAACCUGCCUUGUAGCGGGGGAUAACUAUUGGAAACGAUAGCUAAUACCGCAUAACAAUGGAUGACACAUGUCAUUUAUUUGAAAGGGGCAAUUGCUCCACUACAAGAUGGACCUGCGUUGUAUUAGCUAGUAGGUGAGGUAAUGGCUCACCUAGGCGACGAUACAUAGCCGACCUGAGAGGGUGAUCGGCCACACUGGGACUGAGACACGGCCCAGACUCCUACGGGAGGCAGCAGUAGGGAAUCCUCGGCAAUCGGGGCAACCCUGACCGAGCAACGCCGCGUGAGUGAAGAAGGUUUUCGGAUCGUAAAGCUCUGUUGUAAGUCAAGAACGGGUGUGAGAGUGGAAAGUUCACACUGUGACGGUAGCUUACCAGAAAGGGACGGCUAACUACGUG
This 496-nucleotide ribosomal RNA is filed under the name uncultured bacterium. RNAcentral describes it as "partial 16S ribosomal RNA". It matches the Rfam family "Bacterial small subunit ribosomal RNA", at positions 29 to 507 of the family's 1533-position model. The record is from RNAcentral.